CUGGGCUACGGCGACAUGUACCCCAAGACCUGGUCAGGCAUGGUGGUGGGGGCUCUCUGUGCAUUGGCCGGGGUGCUCACCAUUGCCAUGCCUGUGCCUGUCAUUGUCAAUAAC
This is a non-coding RNA of Struthio camelus australis, 114 nucleotides long. The record is from Rfam. Lineage: Eukaryota; Metazoa; Chordata; Aves; Struthioniformes; Struthionidae.